Molecule: ribosomal RNA, 439 nt
Filed under: uncultured bacterium
Lineage: Bacteria
Description: partial 16S ribosomal RNA
Rfam family: Bacterial small subunit ribosomal RNA
Source: RNAcentral
CCUACGGGAGGCAGCAGUAAGGAAUUUUAGACAAUGGGCGAAAGCCUGAUCUAGCAACGCCGCGUGGACGAUGAAGGCCUUCGGGUCGUAAAGUCCUUUUCUGUGGGAAGAUCGUGACGGUACCACAGGAAUAAGCAUCGGCUAACUACGUGCCAGCAGCCGCGGUAAUACGUAGGAUGCAAGCGUUGUCCGGAUUUAUUGGGCGUAAAGAGUGCGUAGGCGGCUUCUUAAGUGGGGCGUGAAAUCCCCCGGCUUAACCGGGGAGGGUGGUCCUAAACGGGGGGGCUGGAGGGUAGAAGAAGAGAGCGAAAUUCCCGGUGUAGUGGUAAAAUGCGUAGAUAUCGGGAGGAACCCCUGUGGCGACGGCGGCUCUCUAUGCUACUCCUGACGCUGAGGCACGAAAGCUAGGGGAGCAAACGGGAUUAGAUACCCUUGUAGU